GAGGCAGCAGUGAGGAAUAUUGGUCAAUGGACGAGAGUCUGAACCAGCCAAGUAGCGUGAAGGAUGACUGCCCUAUGGGUUGUAAACUUCUUUUAUACGGGAAUAAAGUGAGGCACGUGUGCCUUUUUGUAUGUACCGUAUGAAUAAGGAUCGGCUAACUCCGUGCCAGCAGCCGCGGUAAUACGGAGGAUCCGAGCGUUAUCCGGAUUUAUUGGGUUUAAAGGGAGCGUAGGCGGACGCUUAAGUCAGUUGUGAAAGUUUGCGGCUCAACCGUAAAAUUGCAGUUGAUACUGGGUGUCUUGAGUACAGUAGAGGCAGGCGGAAUUCGUGGUGUAGCGGUGAAAUGCUUAGAUAUCACGAAGAACUCCGAUUGCGAAGGCAGCCUGCUGGACUGUAACUGACGCUGAUGCUCGAAAGUGUGGGUAUCAAACAGGAUUAGAUACCCUGGUAGUCCACACAGUAAACGAUGAAUACUCGCUGUUUGCGAUAUACAGUAAGCGGCCAAGCGAAAGCGUUAAGUAUUCCACCUGGGGAGUACGCCGGCAACGGUGAAACUCAAAGGAAUUGACGGGGGCCCGCACAAGCGGAGGAACAUGUGGUUUAAUUCGAUGAUACGCGAGGAACCUUACCCGGGCUUGAAUUGCAACUGAAUGAUGUGGAGACAUGUCAGCCGCAAGGCAGUUGUGAAGGUGCUGCAUGGUUGUCGUCAGCUCGUGCCGUGAGGUGUCGGCUUAAGUGCCAUAACGAGCGCAACCCUUAUCGAUAGUUACCAUCAGGUGAUGCUGGGGACUCUGUCGAGACUGCCGUCGUAAGAUGUGAGGAAGGUGGGGAUGACGUCAAAUCAGCACGGCCCUUACGUCCGGGGCUACACACGUGUUACAAUGGGGGGUACAGAAGGCAGCUACACGGCGACGUGAUGCCAAUCCCGAAAGCCUCUCUCAGUUCGGAUUGGAGUCUGCAACCCGACUCCAUGAAGCUGGAUUCGCUAGUAAUCGCGCAUCAGCCACGGCGCGGUGAAUACGUUCCCGGGCCCUGUACACACCGCCCGUCAAGCCAUGAAAGCCGGGGGUACCUGAAAAGGGUAACCGCGAGGAGCGCCCUAGGGUAAAACUGGC
RNAcentral lists this ribosomal RNA (1115 nucleotides) under uncultured organism. RNAcentral describes it as "SSU rRNA". It matches the Rfam family "Bacterial small subunit ribosomal RNA", at positions 345 to 1472 of the family's 1533-position model. The record is from RNAcentral.